Brassica rapa (field mustard) is the source of this 597-nucleotide long non-coding RNA. RefSeq lists it as uncharacterized. NCBI's taxonomy places the organism in Eukaryota, Viridiplantae, Streptophyta, Magnoliopsida, Brassicales, Brassicaceae. The record is from RefSeq and is a predicted model, not a curated record.
AAAUAUUUUAAAAAUUCUAUUUAUUAUUAGUCUGAAUUAAAAUGUAAUAUGAAUUUCUAUGAAUAGGUCCAUUAGGUCCAUUUUUAAAAAAAUUACACAUGAAUCAAAGUUGUGAUUUCUGUUUUAAUAUAUAAGAUGUAGCUUUUUUCUGGUGAUAUUGAAACCCUAUUCAAUUCGUUGACGAUUGGGAUUUAUAUGGUGGAACUGGAAAAGCUCAAAACGGGGGGAGUUGAUUCACUAAAAAAUCAACAAUACGCGAAGGUGUUCUAGGUAAAUUGGAAAUUUAUGAAAAAUGAGUUAAUGAAAUGGUGAUCGUUGACAAUAUGGCAGAUACUACUGCAAGUACAUAAUCAACGGUGAUGAAAGGAUAUGAUCGAGGAACUACUAAGAAUAUAAUAGGGGUUGGAGAUGUUUCUAUCGUCAGGCCUACUAUUCAACAACCAAGAAAGAAUGCUAAUUAAUUACUACUAUGAAGUAGUCGCUUCUUGAUACCAAGAAUUAUGAAAAACGUGGGAUAAGUGUGUUCCACAAUAUGUCUUCCUAAUUGGUUUAGACAUUUAUCAGAAGCAACUAUUACUAUGUUUUGUAGGAUGCAAA